CCUACGGGGGGCUGCAGUGAGGAAUAUUGGUCAAUGGUCGGGAGACUGAACCAGCCAAGCCGCGUGAGGGAUGAAGGUACAGAGUAUCGUAAACCUCUUUUGUCAGGGAACAAAGGCUGGGACGCGUCCCCGUUUGCGUGUACCUGAAGAAUAAGCAUCGGCUAACUCCGUGCCAGCAGCCGCGGUAAUACGGAGGAUGCGAGCGUUAUCCGGAUUUAUUGGGUUUAAAGGGUGCGCAGGCGGUCUUUUAAGUCAGCGGUGAAAGCCCGGGGCUCAACCCCGGCACCGCCGUUGAAACUGGGAGGCUCGAGUUGGUGAGAAGCAUGCGGAAUGCGCGGUGUAGCGGUGAAAUGCAUAGAUAUCGCGCAGAACCCCGAUUGCGAAGGCAGCAUGCCGGCUCCACACUGACGCUGAGGCACGAAAGCGUGGGUAUCGAACAGGAUUAGAUACCCGAGUAGUC
Molecule: ribosomal RNA, 460 nt
Filed under: uncultured bacterium
Lineage: Bacteria
Description: partial 16S ribosomal RNA
Rfam family: Bacterial small subunit ribosomal RNA
Source: RNAcentral